This 74-nucleotide transfer RNA is filed under the name Gemmatimonadaceae bacterium. Its description in RNAcentral is "tRNA-Met". It matches the Rfam family "tRNA". Rfam says of the family: Transfer RNA (tRNA) molecules are approximately 80 nucleotides in length. Their secondary structure includes four short double-helical elements and three loops (D, anti-codon, and T loops). The record is from RNAcentral. RNAcentral also lists the same sequence under 3 other names. Lineage: Bacteria; Pseudomonadati; Gemmatimonadota; Gemmatimonadia; Gemmatimonadales; Gemmatimonadaceae.
CGCGGGGUGGAGCAGCCUGGUAGCUCGUCGGGCUCAUAACCCGAAGGUCGCAGGUUCAAAUCCUGCCCCCGCUA